GCUUAUGUAGUAUAAGAAGUACCUGAUCUUUUCGCGAUCAAAGUAAAGUUGACUUUUAUAAGUU
RNAcentral lists this transfer RNA (64 nucleotides) under Brachionus rubens. RNAcentral's name for it is "tRNA-Glu". The record is from RNAcentral. Lineage: Eukaryota; Metazoa; Rotifera; Eurotatoria; Ploima; Brachionidae.